This 98-nucleotide small nucleolar RNA is filed under the name Coniochaeta ligniaria NRRL 30616. RNAcentral describes it as "A. fumigatus snoRNA Afu_190". It matches the Rfam family "A. fumigatus snoRNA Afu_190". Lineage: Eukaryota; Fungi; Ascomycota; Sordariomycetes; Coniochaetales; Coniochaetaceae. The record is from Rfam by way of RNAcentral.
CCAUGAUGAAUUAUUCCAGCUGGCACCAGUCAUAGGACGACUUUGUACUCUGCCCUUGAUGACAAAGCUGCGGUCAUUGACCAAUCCUGAUCUCUUUU